GAUGAACGCUGGCGGCGUGCCUAAUACAUGCAAGUCGAGCGAACAGACGAGGAGCUUGCUCCUCUGACGUUAGCGGCGGACGGGUGAGUAACACGUGGAUAACCUACCUACAAGACUGGGAUAACUCCGGGAAACCGGAGCUAAUACCGGAUAACAUGUUGAACCGCAUGGUUCAACAGUGAAAGACGGUUUUGCUGUCACUUAUAGAUGGAUCCGCGCCGCAUUAGCUAGUUGGUAAGGUAACGGCUUACCAAGGCAACGAUGCGUAGCCGACCUGAGAGGGUGAUCGGCCACACUGGAAGGAGGAAAAGGUCCAGACCACUACGGGACGGUACAGUAAGAAACCGUCCGCAAUGGGCGAAAACCUGACGGAGCAACGCCGCGUGAGUGAAGAAGGUCUUCGGAUCGUAAAACUCUGUUAUUAGGGAAGAACAAAUGUGUAAGUGACUAUGCACGUCUUGACGGUACCUAAUCAGAAAGCCACGGCUAACUACGUG
Molecule: ribosomal RNA, 497 nt
Filed under: uncultured bacterium
Lineage: Bacteria
Description: partial 16S ribosomal RNA
Rfam family: Bacterial small subunit ribosomal RNA
Source: RNAcentral